UUGCCCGUGAUGAAGCCUGUGUUGGUAGGGACAUCUGAAAGUGCUGAUGAAUGCCAAUGACUCUGAUGCUGGUGU
This 75-nucleotide small nucleolar RNA is filed under the name Sciurus vulgaris (Eurasian red squirrel). RNAcentral's name for it is "Small nucleolar RNA SNORD74 (ENSSVLG00005013582.1)". It matches the Rfam family "Small nucleolar RNA SNORD74". Rfam says of the family: Z18 also identified as U74 (SNORD74) belongs to the C/D class of snoRNA which contain the C (UGAUGA) and D (CUGA) box motifs. The record is from Rfam by way of RNAcentral. Lineage: Eukaryota; Metazoa; Chordata; Mammalia; Rodentia; Sciuridae.